This 90-nucleotide unclassified non-coding RNA is filed under the name Pseudomonas mediterranea. The record is from RNAcentral. Lineage: Bacteria; Pseudomonadati; Pseudomonadota; Gammaproteobacteria; Pseudomonadales; Pseudomonadaceae.
UGUGGGAGCGAGCCUGCUCGCGAUGGCGGUGUGUCAUUCGACGUAAAUAUUGAAUGCGCUAUCGCCAUCGCGAGCAGGCUCGCUCCCACA